Molecule: non-coding RNA, 95 nt
Organism: Mycena epipterygia
Lineage: Eukaryota; Fungi; Basidiomycota; Agaricomycetes; Agaricales; Mycenaceae
Source: the annotation of a GenBank genome assembly
GUGCUGUUGGUGCAGGGGUAACACAACCUGAUGUUAUUGCAAAAACUUGUUGCAAAUGGUUUAGGUUGAGCUGGGUUCGAAUCCCACAUGGCGCA